Molecule: ribosomal RNA, 250 nt
Filed under: uncultured bacterium
Lineage: Bacteria
Also listed under: 1 other name
Description: partial 16S ribosomal RNA
Rfam family: Bacterial small subunit ribosomal RNA
Source: RNAcentral
UACGGAGGAUGCGAGCGUUAUCCGGAUUUAUUGGGUUUAAAGGGUGCGUAGGCUGUUAUAUAAGUCAGUGGUGAAAUAUUCGGGCUCAACCGGGAUACUGCCAUUGAUACUGUAUAGCUGGAAUAUGGUUGCUGUGGGUGGAAUGUGUGGUGUAGCGGUGAAAUGCAUAGAUAUCACACAGAAUAUCGAUUGCGAAGGCAACUCACAAAGCCAUUAUUGACGCUGAUGCACGAAAGUGUGGGGAUCAAAC